GGAGUCCCGUGUGGUCCUUGCCCAGUGGGGCCCAGCUGUAUUCUAGGGAGGGGCCAGCCCUUCUUCUCUGCCCCCUACUGAUGUGCAAGAACCCACUGGAGCCUCUGUGAUCACCAUGUCCCGGACCCUGGCCACCAGUUCACAUACUGCCACAACACUGGCUCACGGCCCCUGGGCCAGUCCCAUGCUGGAUCCUGUGAGCUUCAGGCUUUUGUUCCCACUUGCAGCAGGGCAAAGUGAGGAAGGACAAAUCCAGGGAGCAUGCCUAGGCCACCCAGCAGCUGGGACCAGUAAUUUCUUCCCCAGCAAGACUGUGUCCAGCUUCAACAUCCCAUGAGCUCCCAGCACUGGUACCAGCUUCCCUGGGCAGCAGGCAUCUAGCCACGUGGCAUGUCUGCUAAGAAGGACACUCUUGUGACCACAAAAGCCCUCACUGUCCCAAGUCUAUAAAAAGGCAGCCGGCAGGAGCAGAACCCUCCUAGAGCACGGUCGUACUGUGCAGCCUGCUUGGCCUGAACCCCCACUUACCUGUGAGUUCCUCACUGCUCUGUUUGGUGAUCACGGCCCACCAGAAACAGGCUCAGAGAGAUCCAGUGCCUUGCCUCGGGUCCCAUAGAGUUGAGAGUCAAAUGAGGCUUGCCUGGUGGUAGACUCUUUAACAUGAGGACGUGGCUCUCUGUUGGCCCUGUAAACACUGAACCAAUCAUGCAGUUGUUGAAAAAAAUCCUACCAGCCCCGAGGAAUUGCUGGUCCCAGCUGCUGUCACUGCUCUACACGGUAGGGGUAGAUCAAGGAACAGGACAAGCAAAGCAUCUGCCUUCAUGGCAUUCACCUUCUAGAAAGUGAAACACGACAGAAAUUAAAAUAACUGUCUAACUGUAGGUAAACUGAGGGCAUUCCCUGUGCUGGUUACAGGACUUUCUUAGGUGAUGUUGGAGCUGAGGCUUGAUAGAGGGCACAGGCCGUGUGGACACUCGGGCAAGUAUCCAGGCAGACAAAGGCCAGUGCAAAGGCCCCAUGGCAAGCUCAGACGUACAUGAAAGGAAUAGCAGUGAAGCCAGGAGGCUGGAAUGGAGUGAGCUCAGGGCGAGGGUAGGAGAGGAGGUGGGAGGAAGAAUGGGUCCCACUGGGCAGGGCCUUGUUGCUUCAUGACAUUUAAAUCCAAGACACAUUCACAAUACAGUUUUUUUCCCCUAAAUAAAAUGCCUGAUCUUGGUGUUUGGG
This 1224-nucleotide long non-coding RNA is filed under the name Phocoena sinus (vaquita). RNAcentral's name for it is "lncRNA (ENSPSNG00000021784.1)". Lineage: Eukaryota; Metazoa; Chordata; Mammalia; Artiodactyla; Phocoenidae. The record is from RNAcentral.